Molecule: long non-coding RNA, 452 nt
Organism: Peromyscus eremicus (cactus mouse)
Lineage: Eukaryota; Metazoa; Chordata; Mammalia; Rodentia; Cricetidae
Exons: 3
Source: RefSeq, a predicted model, not a curated record
GUUGGCGAUCCUCAGAGGAGCUGCCUGCCUUACAGAAGACCUUCAUCUAUCUCUUUGUGCCCUUUAAAUGGCAGGGAUUUUACACAGGGUUGCCUGCCCCUGGUUUUCUGUGGCCCUAGCUGUUGCCCAUGUUUAUUUCUUCUGCUGCACUGUUUAUUACUAAAACCCUUUUGUGAUUCUAAUCCACGGAAAAUCCUUUCAAUUAAUCCUCUUCCUGACUUCCAGCAGUUGCUGUGAACAUAGUGAUAGGUAUGUGCCAUGAUGUGUGUGUAGAGAUCAGAAGACAGCUUUGGUAUGUGACACAGCAUCAGGUUUGCUUGGUGAGAGGUAUGAAAUUCAGGUCUCUCUACAUGCGAUGUAUGCAAGCCUGCUAUCAAGUGCCAAUGUAUUAGUUAAAGCAUGUGACCACCUUUCCACCUAGAUGCAACUGUUAAAGAUAACCCAAUAAAACA